CCUCAUUGUUCACAAUUGUUCAAAAUUCCAAUUGGUGAAUUGUAAUAGGUUAUUCGCACGCAGUUCUGCAUACGGCGAAUGGCUUUUGCAUCGCAUUAACAAGACUUUGGCUUUUAACAGUGGCUACUAGAAACUUUAGCCAGUAGGACAACGUCUGCAAUGGAUUUAAUGUGGGUAUGAACAGAACCACCAGCCAUACCAAGGCAAAACACUAAUCAGCAAUUACUAACACAAUUAGGCCAAUAGAUUGGUCAAAGGGGAUUGUCAUAUGCCACAGACGGAUUAAUAGCCCAAGCAAAAUGUAGUUAUCAACUUCAAACAACCACAGAAAGGACAUCUGCCUACCAUAUCCCACAUCCUUGAAUACAAAACCAUAAGAACCAAAAUCCCUAGAACUACACCCUAACACAUCCACACCAAUGCUCCUAAGAAUCCGCAAGUGCCUUGUCAAUUUCUUCAACGUGAUCCCUAAGUACAUUCCACUGCACAAGUAGAAAACCAAAUCAACACACCUAUUUAGCAAUUAGAAUCAUUCAGAAAAAGUGUCAAAUUUUGAUAAAUUGUACCUGAUCAACACUUAAUGAUAUUCCUGGAUCAAAAUACAAACAUAUAAGCACGUCAGGAAUGUUGAAGGAAUGAUAUAAAGAAAGGAAAUGAAAAUUAAAAUGAAAAAAGAAAAACGAAAUUAAAAGGAUCUUUUUCACCACACCACCCCACACUCUCCACCCCCCGGGGCUGCUUUUUCCCCUUUUCCCCUAUUUUUUUUUCCUCUUCUCCAACCCAAAUGUGCAAGGCUCACCAAAAAGAAAUUAAUCAUUUUCACUGCUCAGGCUUCCAAAGCAAGAAAAGCAAUUAAUUCUAACCUCAUGAUGCUUUAAUUCCACAACAUAAAGACCUUCAGAUGAGAUUAUUAAACCAAGGUAUAAACUAGUAACUGCUAUGUACAACUGCAAGAGAAAGGAACUUUUUGAAACAAAUUGCAGAUUAUGGCUGAGUUUAACUACAAAUGGAUUCAAGAAGGUCUUUUUGAUGAAAAGCAAGGAACUAAGACAUAUAAUAGGCAUGCUCUGGUGCCAACAUGCAGACCAUCUGGCUUCAUCAUUGAAUGGCAACAAAAUGCUCAGCAUAUUUCUCAGCUAAAGUCAAUAAUUUGACCUUCCCCAAGCAUGAUGGAAAGAAAACUCAAUUAAUGUGUUCUAUCAAAAGAAUCUAACAAAAAUUUUUUCUUUUAAACAUCAAUCCUCUAUCAAUGCCUUCCGCAAAGAAUUGAGCUCUACCUCCAUUCACUCACAUAUGAUCAACUUGCAUCUCAUACGGCUCUUCUUCUAUACGACCCGUAAGAAAUCUUCAUUCUACCCUUUGCCAUUAAAGUAGAGAUUGGGAAAAGGGAUACAUAACAAAGUACAAGGAUAAAAGCAUGUACUCUUAGUGAGUGUCCCCAAGUGUACAGGGCCUUUCCUAUCCUGCUAGCCUCUUCCCCAAAUAUUCCACUGUAAGGUCCUAUACAGAUUUGUUCUUGAAUUAGGAUGUAAAGGAAGACCUAGAUAAAU
This 1550-nucleotide unclassified non-coding RNA is filed under the name Hevea brasiliensis (rubber tree). The record is from RNAcentral. Lineage: Eukaryota; Viridiplantae; Streptophyta; Magnoliopsida; Malpighiales; Euphorbiaceae.